Molecule: non-coding RNA, 21 nt
Filed under: Caenorhabditis elegans
Lineage: Eukaryota; Metazoa; Nematoda; Chromadorea; Rhabditida; Rhabditidae
Source: RNAcentral
CGUAUUCGUAUGGCUUGUGAA